GACGAACGCUGGCGGCGUGCUUAACACAUGCAAGUCGAACGAUGAACCCGGAGCUUGCUCCGGUGGAUUAGUGGCGAACGGGUGAGUAACACGUGAGUAACCUGCCCUUGACUCUGGGAUAACUGCGGGAAACUGUAGCUAAUACCGGAUACGACCCUCGGCGGCAUCGCCAGGGGGUGGAAAGAAUUUCGGUCAAGGAUGGACUCGCGGCCUACCAGCUAGUUGGUGAGGUAACGGCUCACCAAGGGGACGACGGGUAGCCGGCCUGAGAGGGUGACCGGCCACACUGGGACUGAGACACGGCCCAGACUCCUACGGGAGGCAGCGGUGGGGAAUAUUGCACAAUGGGCGCAAGCCUGAUGCAGCAACGCCGCGUGAGGGAUGACGGCCUUCGGGUUGUAAACCUCUUUUAGUAGGGAAGAAGCGAAAGUGACGGUACCUGCAGAAAAAGCACCGGCUAACUACGUGCCAGCAGCCGCGGUAA
RNAcentral lists this ribosomal RNA (484 nucleotides) under uncultured bacterium. RNAcentral describes it as "partial 16S ribosomal RNA". It matches the Rfam family "Bacterial small subunit ribosomal RNA", at positions 28 to 523 of the family's 1533-position model. The record is from RNAcentral.